This 319-nucleotide ribosomal RNA is filed under the name bacterium enrichment culture clone ALO1_GLFRUDD03FWIYS. RNAcentral's name for it is "bacterial SSU rRNA". It matches the Rfam family "Bacterial small subunit ribosomal RNA", at positions 9 to 330 of the family's 1533-position model. The record is from RNAcentral.
GAGUUUGAUCGUGGCUCAGAUUGAACGCUGGCGGCAUGCCUUACACAUGCAAGUCGAACGGCAGCACGGGAGCUUGCUCCUGGUGGCGAGUGGCGAACGGGUGAGUAAUGCAUCGGAACGUAUCCUGGAGUGGGGGAUAACGUAGCGAAGUUACGCUAAUACCGCAUAUUCUGUGAGCAGGAAAGCGGGGGACCUUCGGGCCUCGCGCUCUUGGAGCGGCCGAUGUCGGAUUAGCUAGUUGGUGAGUUAAGGCUCACCAAGGCGACGAUCCGUAGCAGGUCUGAGAGGAUGAUCUGCCACACUGGAACUGAGACACGGU